This 450-nucleotide ribosomal RNA is filed under the name uncultured bacterium. Its description in RNAcentral is "partial 16S ribosomal RNA". It matches the Rfam family "Bacterial small subunit ribosomal RNA", at positions 354 to 796 of the family's 1533-position model. The record is from RNAcentral.
GUGGGGAAUAUUGGACAAUGGGCGAAAGCCUGAUCCAGCCAUGCCGCGUGUGUGAAGAAGGUCUUCGGAUUGUAAAGCACUUUAAGUUGGGAGGAAGGGCAUUAACCUAAUACGUUAGUGUUUUGACGUUACCGACAGAAUAAGCACCGACUAACUUCGUGCCAGCAGCCGCGGUAAUACGAAGGGUGCAAGCGUUAAUCGGAAUUACUGGGCGUAAAGCGCGCGUAGGUGGUUCGUUAAGUUGGAUGUGAAAGCCCCGGGCUCAACCUGGGAACUGCAUCCAAAACUGGCGAGCUAGAGUACGGUAGAGGGUGGUGGAAUUUCCUGUGUAGCGGUGAAAUGCGUAGAUAUAGGAAGGAACACCAGUGGCGAAGGCGACCACCUGGACUGAUACUGACACUGAGGUGCGAAAGCGUGGGGAGCAAACAGGAUUAGAAACCCUGGUAGUCC